This 480-nucleotide ribosomal RNA is filed under the name uncultured bacterium. RNAcentral's name for it is "partial 16S ribosomal RNA". It matches the Rfam family "Bacterial small subunit ribosomal RNA", at positions 28 to 506 of the family's 1533-position model. The record is from RNAcentral.
GAUGAACGCUGGCGGCGUGCUUAACACAUGCAAGUCGAACGAAACACCUUAUUUGAUUUUCUUCGGAACUGAAGAUUUGGUGAUUGAGUGGCGGACGGGUGAGUAACGCGUGGGUAACCUGCCCUGUACAGGGGGAUAACAGUCAGAAAUGACUGCUAAUACCGCAUAAGACCACAGCACCGCAUGGUGCAGGGGUAAAAACUCCGGUGGUACAGGAUGGACCCGCGUCUGAUUAGCUGGUUGGUGAGGUAACGGCUCACCAAGGCGACGAUCAGUAGCCGGCUUGAGAGAGUGAACGGCCACAUUGGGACUGAGACACGGCCCAAACUCCUACGGGAGGCAGCAGUGGGGAAUAUUGCACAAUGGGGGAAACCCUGAUGCAGCGACGCCGCGUGAGUGAAGAAGUAUUUCGGUAUGUAAAGCUCUAUCAGCAGGGAAGAAAAUGACGGUACCGGACUAAGAAGCCCCGGCUAACUACGU